GCUGUUUUAGUUUAAUUUUUAAAAUUUCUAAUUUGUAAUUAGGGGAUUUAUUACAGUU
This 58-nucleotide transfer RNA is filed under the name Onchocerca flexuosa. Its description in RNAcentral is "tRNA-Thr". Lineage: Eukaryota; Metazoa; Nematoda; Chromadorea; Rhabditida; Onchocercidae. The record is from RNAcentral.